Pipistrellus kuhlii (Kuhl's pipistrelle) is the source of this 1071-nucleotide non-coding RNA. Lineage: Eukaryota; Metazoa; Chordata; Mammalia; Chiroptera; Vespertilionidae. The record is from the annotation of a RefSeq genome assembly.
UAAGCUCUGUGACACUCCUGUGAUUUGGCAAAAACCCCUCAUGGGAAACAGAACAGCUGCCGACAAGGGCUGAUUUCCUCAGUCACACAUGUGUCACAGAGAAGGUGUUGACUCAGAGGAGGGACCCGGCAGAGGGUGAGUUAGAGGCAGAGCUAUUUCUGAGUGGAGCCAUGCAGAGGAACUGCUCACUCAUCUAUCUCACCCUCUUCUGGACAGGAGUCAUGUCAGCUGUCCAGUUGGAACAAGACCAAGAAGUGACUGUGUUCUUGGCGAUGUCUGCCACCCUCAGGUGCUCCUUGGAGGGAGAAAUGAUCAGUAACUACUAUAUCAGCUGGUACAGGCAGACCGAGGGUAACACAAUGACUUACAUACACCGAGAAGGGGGAAUGUAUGGCCGUGGUUUCUUCGGCAAGUUCCGGGCUAGCAUUGAUAGUUCAAGCAACAAGGCUGAGCUUGAGAUCCUUAAAGCAUCAGAAAGAGAUGAAGGAAUUUACUACUGUGCCAGCGACUACCACCCUGCUGCUGGCCCACUUCUGACACAACUCAUCUUUGGAAAGGGCACUAAACUCAUCGUGGAACCAAAAAGUCAGCCUCCUGCCAAACCAUCUGUUUUCAUCAUGAAAAAUGGGACCAAUGUUGCUUGUCUGGUGAAAGAUUUCUACCCGAGGAAUGUAACUAUAAAUCUCCUCUCAUCCAAGAAAAUAGUAGAAUUUGACCCUGCUAUCGUUGUCUCUCCCAGUGGGAAGUACAGUGCUGUCAAGCUUGGUCAGUAUGAAGAUUCUAAUUCAGUGACAUGUUCAGUUCAACACAACCAUGAAACCUGGUACUCCACUGAAUUUGAAAAGAUGGUAAAUUCUUCAGAUAAUCUAAAACCAAUGGAAGCUGAAAAGAUACAGCAAACUUCAAAGAUCAGCCAUAAACCCAAAGUUCAUGCCGAGAAGGUGAACAUGAUGUCCCUCACAGUGCUGGGGCUCCGAAUGCUGUUUGCCAAGAUGGCUGCUGUCAAUUUUCUCUUUACUGCCAAGUUAUUUUUCUGUUAAGGCUGACAGGCAGGAGACAGCUACACUUCCU